AAUGAAGACUGAGGUGUCUGCUUUGCAGUUUUUUUUUUUCUUUUCUUGUCUUUUUUUUUUUUUUUCCUAAUCAUGUGGACAUCUCUGAGAAUGAGGGGACUGGGUGACUUUGCAGUGUCUGCUUUCUAAGUUUCAAAGUGACUUUCCAGGCAAGCUGCGCAUAUCUUGGGAUCUUCACAGCACAGUGGCUGGGAAGGCAGGCGGACCCGUCUAUCAGCUUCUCCCUGAAUAACUGGGAGCUGAAACAGGAAGCCCCAUGACACAGUUGAUCGAAAAUGACACAGACACAGAAAAAUCAGGACGUGCCCCCAGCAGCACCCCUACCUGCUGCCUGCUGAUCACGGCUGGGAGGCCCGUCCAGGGUUCCCACCCGGGAACGGACUCUUAGCUACUCAGUGCUCACGGGUGCUGGGCCUGCAGAGCUUUUCGGAUGCUCUCUUACAGCUGGUGGGAUUCUUGCGGGGGCAGGGAUCGAGUCAAACCUUGGAAAUGACGUCAUUCUGAACUCAUCUGCCUUUAUCCAGAAGACUACCAAAGCAAACCAGAGGACCAGAGAACAGCAGCUGCUCUGGACAAAGAGGGGAGGACACCCACACCCACAUACCAAGUUCUGGUUGACUUCUACAGCAGAAGAAGCAGGAGACACAAGAAGACUCAGAGGGACUGAAAUAUAAGAAGAUCGAUGCCAGAUGUUGUUGUGAUGACAACCUGUUGGGUUGAAGGACCCCAGGAAGACACAGUCCAGAUUCACAGGGACAGAGCCACUCACCUAUUGUCACAUGCAGCACAGAAUAAUGCAGAGGCAUGGCAUCAUAACAAUUCCUGAAUGGUGCUUCUCAGAAGAUGGUACUUCUUGGGGUCUGGUACCUGGACUAGUGAGGCUUCUCAGGGGAUGGGACCCCAACCCAGAAUGACAACAUCACCUGAUAACUUCAUCUUCAUCAUUAUCAUCAUCAUCAUCAUUGUUGUUAUUCCUUUUGUUUUGUUUUGAGAUUGUAAUAAAAUUAUAUCAUUUCUCCAUUG
RNAcentral lists this long non-coding RNA (1023 nucleotides) under Mus musculus (house mouse). RNAcentral's name for it is "myeloid RNA regulator of BCL2L11 induced cell death". The record is from RNAcentral. Lineage: Eukaryota; Metazoa; Chordata; Mammalia; Rodentia; Muridae.